This is a long non-coding RNA of Taeniopygia guttata (zebra finch), 1370 nucleotides long. The record is from Ensembl. NCBI's taxonomy places the organism in Eukaryota, Metazoa, Chordata, Aves, Passeriformes, Estrildidae.
CUUACCGGAAGUGACGUCAAAUCGCGCCGCACGCGCUCCGCGAAGCGCCGCCGGUGUCGCACUGAAACGGGUCCGGACGGAACCACGGGGAAGUUUUGGGGCUCUUUGACUGAAUUUUGGGGUCCCCGCGCGGAUUUUGGGGGUCCCUGAGGGGAUUUUGGGGUCCCUGAGGGGAUUUUGGGGUCCCUGAGGAAAUUUUGGGGUCCCUGAGGAAAUUUUGGGGCUCUUUGACUGAAUUUUGGGGUCCCUGAGGGGAUUUUGGGGUCCCUGAGGGAAUUUUGGGGUCCCUGAGGGAAUUUUGGGGUCUCUGAGGGGAUUUUGGGGUCCCUGAGGGAAUUUUGGGGUCUCUGAGGAAAUUUUGGGGUCCCUGAGGAAAUUUUGGGGAUCCUUGACUGAAUUUUGGGGCUCUUUGACUGAAUUUUGGGGUCCCUGAGGGAAUUUUGGGGUCCCUGAGGAAAUUUUGGGGUCCCUGAGGGAAUUUUGGGGUCUCUGAGGGAAUUUUGGGGUCCCGGGGAAAAUUUUGGGGUCCCUGAGGGGAAUUUUGGGGUCCCUGAGGAAAUUUUGGGGUCCCUGAGGGGAUUUUUGGGGUCCCGGAGGAAAUUUUGGGGUCCCUGAAGGAAAUUUUGGGGUCCCUGAGGAGAUUUUGGGGAUUUUUUGAAGCCCCGCCCCCAUUUUUAAGCCCCUCCCCCAUUUUUGAAGCCCCUCCCCAUUUCUUUAAGCCCCGCCCCCAUUUUUGAAGCCCCUCCCCCAUUUUUUAAAGCCCCCCCAUUUUCGAAGCCCCGCCCCCAUUUUUUGGAGCCCCUCCCCCAUUUUUUAAGCCCCUCCCCCAUUUUUUGAAGCCCCUCCCCCAUUUUUUGGCCCCUCCCCCAUUUUUUGGGACCCCCCAUGGACCCCCCGGAGCCCCAAAUUCCCCGGAAACGGCCCCAAAAAAACCCGCGGCACACCCAGGUCAGGAACCGGCGCUACAUGGCCAUGAGGGAGCUGAUCCGAGAGGGCGAUUACUUCAGCGAGGAGCGGAUGCGGCUCCGCGCCCCGGGGCUGUUCCAGCGCUACAUCGGCCGUUUCCGGGACGGAAUUCCCAAAAAUCCGCCGGGAAUUCCCAAAAUUUCCCCCGGAAUUCCCAAAAAUCCCCCCGGAAUUCCCAAAAAUCCCCCCGGAAUUCCCAAAUCCGGGCCGGAAAUGCCCCGAAAUGCCCCGAAAUUGCCCCAAAACGCGGGGCCCGCGCGGGAGCUGCGGGAGCUGCUGCUGAGCGCGCUGGAGGAGAGCGCGGGUCGGGUUUUGGGGCAGUUUGGGGAAUUUUGGGGAUUUUGGGGGGAGUUUGGGGUGGUUUGGGAUGAUUUUGUGGGGAUUUUGGGAGGUUUGGGGGGAUU